AUCGCAGACAAACUUUUUGUAUUUUUCUGAUUCAUGGGAGGCAAAUAUUACAUGGUUAUUCGCUGAUAGCACAUCUUUUUUAAAAGAUCUGCUUAUAGUUCAUAACCAUACAUUG
Benincasa hispida (wax gourd) is the source of this 115-nucleotide small nucleolar RNA. Lineage: Eukaryota; Viridiplantae; Streptophyta; Magnoliopsida; Cucurbitales; Cucurbitaceae. The record is from RefSeq and is a predicted model, not a curated record.